GAUUAACGCUGGCGGCGUGCAUAACACAUGCAAGUCGAACGAUGAAACUUUACUGACUUCUUCGGAAUGAUUUAAAGCGGAUUAGUGGCGAACGGGUGAGUAACGCGUGAGUAACCUGCCUUACACAAGGGGAUAGCCUCUGGAAACGGAGAAUAAUACCCUAUGAAACCAGACAAUCGCAUGAUAAUCUGGUCAAAAUGUUUAGUGGUGUAAGAUGGACUUGCGUCUGAUUAGCUAGUUGGUGAGAUAAAAGCUCACCAAGGCAACGAUCAGUAGCCGGCUUGAGAGAGUGUACGGCCGCAUUGGGACUGAGACACGGCCCAGACUCCUACGGGAGGCAGCAGUGGGGAAUUUUGCACAAUGGGGGAAACCCUGAUGCAGCGACGCCGCGUGAUUUAGAAGGCCUUCGGGUUGUAAAAAUCUUUUGUAUAGGAAGAAAAUGACAGUACUAUACGAAUAAGGACCGGCUAAUUACGUG
This 478-nucleotide ribosomal RNA is filed under the name uncultured bacterium. RNAcentral's name for it is "partial 16S ribosomal RNA". It matches the Rfam family "Bacterial small subunit ribosomal RNA", at positions 28 to 507 of the family's 1533-position model. The record is from RNAcentral.